Molecule: ribosomal RNA, 501 nt
Filed under: uncultured bacterium
Lineage: Bacteria
Description: bacterial SSU rRNA
Rfam family: Bacterial small subunit ribosomal RNA
Source: RNAcentral
AGAGUUUGAUCAUGGCUCAGACUGAACGCUGGCGGAAUGCUUUACACAUGCAAGUCGAACGGCAGCACGGGGCAACCUGGUGGCGAGUGGCGAACGGGUGAGUAAUACAUCGGAACGUGCCCAAUCGUGGGGAUAACGUAGCGAAAGUUACGCUAAUACCGCAUACGAUCUACGGAUGAAAGCGGGGGAUCGCAAGACCUCGCGCGAGUGGAGCGGCCGAUGUCAGAUUAGGUAGUUGGUGGGGUAAAGGCUCACCAAGCCAACGAUCUGUAGCUGGUCUGAGAGGACGACCAGCCACACUGGAACUGAGACACGGUCCAGACUCCUACGGGAGGCAGCAGUGGGGAAUUUUGGACAAUGGGCGCAAGCCUGAUCCAGCCAUUCCGCGUGCAGGAUGAAGGCCUUCGGGUUGUAAACUGCUUUUGUACGGAACGAAACGGCGAGCUCUAAUACAGUUUGCUAAUGACGGUACCGUAAGAAUAAGCACCGGCUAACUACGUG